AGCAGUCGCCACGGUAAUACGGAGGGUGCAAGCGUUAUCCGGAUUUAUUGGGUUUAAAGGGUCCGUAGGCGGAUCUGUAAGUCAGUGGUGAAAUCUCACAGCUUAACUGUGAAACUGCCAUUGAUACUGCAGGUCUUGAGUAAAUUUGAAGUGGCUGGAAUAAGUAGUGUAGCGGUGAAAUGCAUAGAUAUUACUUAGAACACCAAUUGCGAAGGCAGGUCACUAAGAUUUAACUGACGCUGAUGGACGAAAGCGUGGGGAGCGAACAGGAUUAGAUACCCCUGUAGUCCCUGUCUCUUAUAC
Molecule: ribosomal RNA, 303 nt
Filed under: uncultured bacterium
Lineage: Bacteria
Description: partial 16S ribosomal RNA
Rfam family: Bacterial small subunit ribosomal RNA
Source: RNAcentral